UCAGCCUUUCCGCGUGUAGGAAGACUGCCCUAUGGUUUCCCAAACUACUUGGUAUAGAGGAAGAAACGAUUUCACGUGUGGAAUUUUGACGGUAUCUCUCCGAAUAAGGAUCGGCUAACUCCGUGCCAGCAGCCGCGGUAAUACGGAGGAUCCAAGCGUUAUCCGGAAUCAUUGGGUUUAAAGGGUCCGUAGGCGGGUUUGUAAGUCAGUGGUGAAAGUUUUCGGCUCAACCGGAAAAUUGCCAUUGAUACUGCAAGUCUUGAAUCAUUAUGAAGUGGUUAGAAUGUGUAGUGUAGCGGUGAAAUGCAUAGAUAUUACACAGAAUACCGAUUGCGAAGGCAGAUCACUAAUAAUGUAUUGACGCUAAGGGACGAAAGCGUGGGUAGCGAACAGGAUUAGAUACCCUGGUAGUCCACGCCGUAAACGAUGGUUACUAGCUGUUCGGAUUUCGAUCUGAGUGGCUAAGCGAAAGUGAUAAGUAACCCACCUGGGGAGUACGUUCGCAAGAAUGAAACUCAAGGGAAUUGACGG
RNAcentral lists this ribosomal RNA (531 nucleotides) under uncultured Aquimarina sp. RNAcentral's name for it is "bacterial SSU rRNA". It matches the Rfam family "Bacterial small subunit ribosomal RNA", at positions 388 to 916 of the family's 1533-position model. The record is from RNAcentral. Lineage: Bacteria; Pseudomonadati; Bacteroidota; Flavobacteriia; Flavobacteriales; Flavobacteriaceae.